Molecule: small RNA, 861 nt
Filed under: Pongo abelii (Sumatran orangutan)
Lineage: Eukaryota; Metazoa; Chordata; Mammalia; Primates; Hominidae
Description: processed transcript
Source: RNAcentral
GGCUUCAGCGUCUUACUGCGCGGGGCUCCAGUUUCCAGUCCCGCCCACGCGCCUUUGCAGGCUGCGGUGGGGUUUCGUUUUGCCUCCGGUUGGGACUGCUGUUUCUCUUCGCCGACGAGACGGGGUUUCACCAUGUUGGUCAGGCUGGUCUCCAAUUCUGACCUCGUGAUCCGCCUGCCUCGGCCUCCCAAACAGCUGUGAUUAUAGGCAUGAGCCACCGCGCCCGGCCAACCAUCAUUAUUAUUUUUACCGUGGAUCCUCUACCCUUCAGAGACUCUGGAACCCCUGUGGUCUUCUCCUCAUCUAAUGACCCUGAGGUGAUGGAGUUUUCAAGUCCUUCCAGAGAGGAAUGUCCCAAGCCUUCGGGUAGGGUAAACAUCAUGGCUGGCAGCCUCACAGGAUUGCUUCUACUUCAGGCAGUGUCGUGGGCAUCAGGUGCCCGCCCCUGCAUCCCUAAAAGCUUCGGCUACAGCUCGGUGGUCUGUGUCUGCAAUGCCACAUACUGUGACUCCCUUGACCCCCUGACAUUUCCUGCCCUCGGUACCUUCAGCCGCUAUGAGAGUACACGCAGUGGGCGACGGAUGGAGCUGAGUACGGGGACCAUCCAGGCUAAUCACACGGGCACAGGCCUGCUACUGACCCUGCAGCCAGAACAGAAGUUCCAGAAAGUGAAGGGAUUUGGAGGGGCCAUGACAGACGCUGCUGCUCUCAACAUCCUUGCCCUGUCACCCCCUGCCCAAAAUUUGCUACUUAAAUCGUACUUCUCUGAAGAAGGAAUCGGAUAUAACAUCAUCCGGGUACCCAUGGCCAGCUGUGACUUCUCCAUCCGCACCUAUACCUAUGCAGAUACCCCUGAUGAUU